UACGAAGGGGGCUAGCGUUGUUCGGAAUCACUGGGCGUAAAGGGCGCGUAGGCGGCCGAUCAAGUCGGGGGUGAAAUCUCCGGGCUUAACCCGGAAAGGUCAAUCGAUACUGCGGGGCUAGAGUGCAGAAGGGGCAACUGGAAUUCUCGGUGUAGCGGUGAAAUGCGUAGAUAUCGAGAGGAACACCUGCGGCGAAGGCGGGUUGCUGGGCUGACACUGACGCUGAAGCGCGAAAGUUAGGGGAGCGAACGGG
Molecule: ribosomal RNA, 253 nt
Filed under: uncultured bacterium
Lineage: Bacteria
Description: partial 16S ribosomal RNA
Rfam family: Bacterial small subunit ribosomal RNA
Source: RNAcentral